This 582-nucleotide ribosomal RNA is filed under the name Diaporthe eucalyptorum. RNAcentral describes it as "eukaryotic LSU rRNA". The stretch from base 241 to 394 matches the Rfam family "5.8S ribosomal RNA". The record is from RNAcentral. Lineage: Eukaryota; Fungi; Ascomycota; Sordariomycetes; Diaporthales; Diaporthaceae.
UGGUCAUUUAGAGGAAGUAAAAGUCGUAACAAGGUCUCCGUUGGUGAACCAGCGGAGGGUUCAAAGCUGGAACGCGCCCCAGGCGCACCCAGAAACCCUUUGUGAAGUUAUACCUUACUGUUGCCUCGGGGCAUGCUGGCCCCCUCGGGGUCCCUUGGAGACAAGGAGCUGGCACGCCGGCGGCCAAGUUAACUCUUGUUUCUACACUGAAACUCUGAGAAAAAAACACAAAUGAAUCAAAACUUUCAACAACGGAUCUCUCGGUUCUGGCAUCGAUGAAGAACGCAGCGAAAUGCGAUAAGUAAUGUGAAUUGCAGAAUUCAGUGAAUCAUUGAAUCUUUGAACGCACAUCGCGCCCUCUGGUAUUCCGGAGGGCAUGCCUGUUCGAGCGUCAUUUCAACCCUCAAGCACUGCUUGGUGUUGGGGCACUGCUUCUUACCCAAGAAGCAGGCCCUGAAAUCUAGUGGCGAGCUCGCCAGGACCCCGAGCGCAGUAGUUAAACCCUCGCUCUGGAAGGCCCUGGCGGUGCCCUGCCGUUAAACCCCCAACUUUUGAAAAUUUGACCUCGGAUCAGGUAGGAAU